AAGUUAAUUUGGGAGAGAGCCAAGAAUUCUUUGGGCACAUAGGGGUGAGUCCCUCUACCCACCCUCAGUCCUCACCCCAAGUUGCCCCUGGCACAGAAUUCCUUCGACAAUCCUGAGUGGUUUUAUCGGCAUGUGGAAGCACACAGUCUGUGCUGUGAAUACGAAGCAGUCGGCAAGGACAACCCGGUGGUGCUGUGUGGCUGGAAAGGUAGGGCUGCUUCUUAACUUGUGGCUUCUGGAGGAAACGCUGGGGUUGCUGAAGAGCUGGGACAGAAAGGGAUAGGGGUCCUACAGGGGCAAGGUUGACUGCCGGCUGGAGAGACUCAGGGGUACCAGAUCCUAGGCAAAACUGGGGUUUUGUGGCAGGAGACUGAUAGGGCUUCCUUCCCAGGCUGUACCUGCACCUUCAAGGACCGCAGUAAACUUCGAGAGCACCUCCGCAGCCAUACCCAGGAGAAAGUGGUAGCCUGCCCCACCUGUGGGGGCAUGUUUGCCAACAAUACCAAGUUCUUAGAUCACAUCCGUCGCCAGACCUCAUUGGAUCGUAAGUAGUCAGAGGAAGUGGGGUGGAUGCAGGCUGUCCUGCUUGGAAUGGGUUAGGGGCAUGUUUCUAGUGGGGGUGGCCACUGAAGAGACCUGCCUUUUGGCUGCCUCUUCUUUUUGGGCUCAGGCACCUCCCAUAGUCUCUUUGCUGAUUCAGAUUCGUAGACAUUGUUAUUCAGUACUUACUGUACCUCGUAUCAGUUACUUAGGGAAUCCUCACAACAGCCCCAUGAGGUAGGCUUCUUAUCCCCCUUUUUGCAGAUGAGGAAACUGAGGCUCAGAGAGGUUAAAUCACUUACCUGAGAUCACACAGCUAGUAAGUGGUGAAGCUGGAAUUCUAACUCAGGUUCUCUAAGUCCCAUGCUCUUUCCAUGAUACUGUGUCCAUUCAUAGCUCCCUAAGCUCUCCUUUUCUCCUUGGGUGGUUCCCUUCUGCCUGGGAUGGUUCCCCUCUCCUUUCUGUGCCUCUCCACUAUCCCCUACAGCCGUCCUUUCUUCUGCCUGCCCCACCCCAGAGCAGCACUUCCAGUGUUCUCACUGUUCCAAGAGAUUUGCCACAGAGCGGCUAUUGCGGGACCACAUGCGCAACCAUGUGAAUCACUAUAAGUGCCCUCUGUGUGACAUGACCUGCCCGCUGCCUUCCUCCCUCCGCAACCACAUGCGCUUUCGUCACAGUGAGGACCGGCCCUUUAAAUGUGACUGUUGUGACUACAGCUGCAAGAAUCUUAUUGACCUCCAGAAGCACCUGGAUACCCACAGCGAGGAGCCAGCCUACAGGUGUGAUUUUGAAAACUGCACCUUCAGUGCCCGAUCCCUCUGCUCUAUCAAGUCCCAUUACCGCAAAGUACAUGAAGGAGACUCUGAGCCAAGGUACAAAUGUCAUGUGUGUGACAAAUGCUUCACACGGGGCAACAACCUCACCGUGCACCUUCGCAAGAAGCACCAGUUCAAGUGGCCCUCAGGGCAUCCCCGUUUUCGGUACAAGGAACAUGAAGAUGGCUAUAUGCGGCUGCAGCUGGUUCGCUACGAGAGUGUAGAGCUGACACAGCAACUGCUGCGGCAACCACAAGAGGGAUCGGGCCUGGGAACGUCGCUGAACGAGAGCAGCCUGCAGGGCAUUAUUCUAGAAACAGUGCCAGGGGAGCCAGGACGUAAGGAAGAGGAAGAGGAGGGCAAGGGUAGCGAAGGGACAGCCCUCUCAGCCUCUCAGGACAACCCCAGUUCUGUCAUCCACGUGGUGAAUCAGACCAAUGCCCAAGGCCAGCAAGAGAUUGUCUACUAUGUGCUGUCUGAAGCCCCAGGGGAGCCUCCCCCAGCCCCUGAGCCACCUUCAGGGGGCAUCAUGGAAAAGCUUCAAGGAAUAGCUGAGGAGCCAGAGAUCCAGAUGGUUUGAAGGCCGCAGAGCCAGACCAUUUCUUCCCCAGGUCCUGGAGUUUGAGCCAGGCAAGUGGCAGUGCCCCUAGUGGGCAGCCGUUGCCAAUGGAUGCCUUCAGGAGUGGUGCCGAGAGCAGUGUGGUCCACUCUGGCCUGGGUUUGCAUCAUUCUGCAGACUCUAAAGACUUCCCUUUUCUGCCAGACUACAUUUUGUGGGGAGCCUGAGGACUUUGGAUUCUUUGAGGGGAUCCUGGAUGUGUGUGUUCUUGUUAAAGAGGCUGUUAUCAGGCUUAACCGUAACCCUCAAGAUCUGCUUGACAGUGAUUAAAUCCUUAGCUCACAUCCAUUCCCAUCCUUCGGGCUCCUUAGGCCCAAGGAUGGCAUGUGACUGGUCCCUACAAGGGUCCUUUCUUUGUCACCAGCCAAGGCAUUGAUAACCAAGUAGCCAUUUUCCUCUUAAGGUUUCCUCUACAACCCCAAGGACUUUCAUGAUUAUCCUCAGGGACAGGAUUGGAGGCAUUGAGCGUGUUUAUUAACAAAUUGUUUUUGGUAAUAAAAUAAAUGCUUGGACUCUU
This 2491-nucleotide small RNA is filed under the name Pan troglodytes (chimpanzee). RNAcentral's name for it is "retained intron". Lineage: Eukaryota; Metazoa; Chordata; Mammalia; Primates; Hominidae. The record is from RNAcentral.